Molecule: ribosomal RNA, 475 nt
Filed under: uncultured bacterium
Lineage: Bacteria
Description: bacterial SSU rRNA
Rfam family: Bacterial small subunit ribosomal RNA
Source: RNAcentral
GAUGAACGCUGGCGGCGUGCCUCAAACAUGCAAGUCGAGCGAGGCUAUGAAUUACCGCAAGGUAAGGCAUAGCCUAGCGGCGAACGGGUGAGUAACACGUGGGUAACCUACCUGGAAGACAGGGAUAACGAUUCGAAAGGGUCGCUAAUACCUGAUAAUAUCCAUCUGCCGGAUGGCGGAGGGAAGAAAGGGGAAACCCGCUUUCAGAUGGGCCCGCGUCCCAUCAGCUAGUUGGUAAGGUAAAGGCUUACCAAGGCGACGACGGGUAGCCGGUCUGAGAGGAUGUACGGCCACACUGGGACUGAGAUACGGCCCAGACUCCUACGGGAGGCAGCAGUUGGGAAUCUUAGGCAAUGGACGAAAGUCUGACCUAGCGACGCCGCGUGAGGGAAGAAGGCCUUCGGGUUGUAAACCUCUGUCAUGGGGGAAGAAGGAAGUGACGGUACCCCAAGAGGAAGCCCCUGCUAACUACGUG